CCAUGCAGAGCUGCUCACAAGUCAUAGAAUCAACUAGGUUGAAAAAGAUCUAUGAGAUCAUCAAGUUCAACCAUUACCCCAGAAUGUACCAGAUGCUUUGACACAAUUGGAAGCUUCGGGUGCGUAGAGGCAAAGAUGUUUUUAUAUUUGGCAGCAGAAGCAAGGCGGAUUAUUCCUCAAGAGCAUCAGCUAAGCUGUGCGAGGAACUGUAGCGCACAAUUUCCCUAUCUCUGAAAUGAAGAAAACAUUUUGCUGAGCAGAGCUAUUCAGGUGCUUUCCUUUUUGCAAAUGAAGAGUAAAAGAGUUUAGAAGAAGCAUGCAUCAUCUUACAGCAAAACCCUCUUUUUAGGUAUUCCAUGGAGGAAUAACCCAGGGCAAUACAUGUGGCAUAAGGAUUUUUAUUUACCCAGAGGUAUUUUAUGCUAGGAGCCAGCAAGUCUGCACAGAUUCCUGUGCAGAGCUUUGUAUGUGAUAAAAGACAUGAGCUCAAAUAUGUUUUCUUUCUUAUAUGUUUACUAUUAUUCGUCAAACUGAAAAGUCAUCUUGUUCCAGUCUGAAGACCCAGUUCUGCCAGACUUAGAGCAUCCUCGGUUUCUCCCAUGACAUCUCUUAAGUCAUCAAGCAACAUGUAGCUCUUGGAUGCUUUGCUCUUCAGCUGGGUAGAAGCUCAGCCUCAGUGAAAGCCUAAGGAUCGUACCCCAGUUUAGUCUUCCUGAGGCUUGUAUGCUCACAAACCAGGACUCCCCUCAGCUGCAGCAGAGCUUUGUGCAAGUGAAGCCCCAGUGCUGAGCCCAUCUGAAGGCCUCCUUUGUGCCGGAGCAAUAUAAAGGUCUUUAGAUCUAGUCUUCAGCCUUGAAAGUGCUUCUUUGAAGUCUCUGGGCCUUCACGUGUCCUCCAGACUUUCAUUUAGUGUAGUGUUCUUUGGGUAGGGUUUUUUUAAGGUUUCACGUAAGAUUUCAACAAGCUGGGGAUGUAUCAAAGUAUAAAAUACUUGCUUGGGCCUUAAUCAAUCCAAACUGUUCUCUUAAAAGGGAAAAAUAAAGGCUGUUAACGCAGGCCAGACACUUACAAGGCAGCAGAUGUUUCUCUUUAUUGUCAGAACAGCAGUCUUUAUUAAAUACCAAAGAAAGCCCUCUAAAUCCAGGAAGGCAGUUGAGUCUAUGCUGAGGACACCUCUUCCUCAGGGUAAACAAUCUUUUCCAAGUCAUUUGUUUUUCCUGCUGAUCCUUCAAUGG
This is a long non-coding RNA of Neopsephotus bourkii (Bourke's parrot), 1235 nucleotides long. RefSeq lists it as uncharacterized. NCBI's taxonomy places the organism in Eukaryota, Metazoa, Chordata, Aves, Psittaciformes, Psittacidae. The transcript has 3 exons. The record is from RefSeq and is a predicted model, not a curated record.